Eupeodes corollae is the source of this 733-nucleotide long non-coding RNA. RefSeq lists it as uncharacterized. NCBI's taxonomy places the organism in Eukaryota, Metazoa, Arthropoda, Insecta, Diptera, Syrphidae. The record is from RefSeq and is a predicted model, not a curated record. The transcript has 3 exons.
CUAAGUAUAUACAAAAACCCCGUUUCCAGUCGUAUAAGAUUAUAACAAGGAUACGACAUUGCUAUGCUAUGCAUUCUGUUAUCGUGUCGCUUCGGGUAUUCAAACAAAGUUUCUUGGUUAAUAUCCUGUGCAAAAAUUUUUCCCUCGUCUUUUCCAACAAUCUCAAGGAUACAGCGGAUAUAAAACGCGGUAGCAUAACACAGAGCGCAGUAGUUGCAUUAAUGUUGCAAUAGAAGUAUGAACGACGACGACGGAAAAAAAAAGCAGAGGCAGUAUUAUAGUGAAGGCACAACUUAAGCCAAGAAAACGGAAUAUGUAUAUAAUUCCGGUGACAUUAUGAAAUUUUGUUUAAAUAGCUGAAAAAGUUAACCUGAAUUCGGAGAUUUGUCAUGGGAUUUUGCUUUUUCUAGCUUACGAAUGUGCACACAGGUUCAAGGUUGAAGACUUGGUUGGAAUGAUGGCCUUGCUUGACUGAGUGAUUCCGUAUUACAAAAUUAACAUGUUUCUUAGGGAAAGUUCUAUGUAAAAAAAUAAUAAAGGACUAAGUUGACGAAUAACAAGUUUUUAAGUUUCGCAUCAAUGUCGAAUGAAAUGCUUUGUGUUUUUCAACUUUUUCAUUUGAAGUUAUUGUAAACUGUCGGAUUAUUCAAAUUGGUUUAGACAUAAUAGAAUCAAGUUCCUGAUUUUUUAUGAAUCAAAAUGGUGCAGUAAAAUAAAACCCAAUGAAAAAAGG